AUUGAACGCUGGCGGCAUGCCUUACACAUGCAAGUCGAACGGCAGCACGGGGCAACCUGGUGGCGAGUGGCGAACGGGUGAGUAAUGCAUCGGAACGUGCCAUUGAGUGGGGGAUAACGUAGCGAAAGUUGCGCUAAUACCGCAUAUUCUGUGAGCAGGAAAGCAGGGGACCGCAAGGCCUUGCGCUCUUUGAGCGGCCGAUGUCAGAUUAGCUAGUUGGUGAGGUAACGGCUUACCAAGGCGACGAUCUGUAGCGGGUCUGAGAGGAUGAUCCGCCACACUGGAACUGAGACACGGUCCAGACUCCUACGGGAGGCAGCAGUGGGGAAUUUUGGACAAUGGGCGCAAGCCUGAUCCAGCCAUGCCGCGUGAGUGAAGAAGGCCCUUCGGGUUGUAAAG
This 399-nucleotide ribosomal RNA is filed under the name uncultured bacterium. Its description in RNAcentral is "bacterial SSU rRNA". It matches the Rfam family "Bacterial small subunit ribosomal RNA", at positions 30 to 430 of the family's 1533-position model. The record is from RNAcentral.